This 49-nucleotide non-coding RNA is filed under the name unclassified sequences. RNAcentral describes it as "Mu-gpT-DE RNA". It matches the Rfam family "Mu-gpT-DE RNA". The record is from Rfam by way of RNAcentral.
CCUUGACUGCAAUUUUGCAGACAAUAGCCAAGACAAGGAGAUUUACAUG